AGACUGCUGCAAUCUGAUAAGUAAACUCACCUUAUUCCUAAUUUAGGUGUGCUGACACUAAAAUAGGAUGAUAUAGGAAAAUAAACAAUAGGAGAAUUGUUUGCUGAAUUUUAUUAUAGGACAGAAUGGACCAUUUUCUUUAAUGAGUUGAGGUAGUAUUUCAUUGUAUAAGAAAGACUACUCUUUAAAAUGGAUAGGACGUAUUCUGCUACUUAUUACAGAUGUAAAUCAGGAAAUGGUAUACUGACCUUAACAUCUUUUAGUCCUUAUAUAACUCGAAUAUGUCACUGCUUUAAAAUCUCUUCAGCUUAUCCAAUAUUUUUAACAUUACAAGGAAUUUUCUCCAACACUGCUAUAGCUGAAGAGACACAUGAUUGGAAAUAAAAAUCCAGCAAAAUACAAAAAAUGAAAACAAAUAAACUGCAUGCACAUGAAGCUUUGAAGGUGUUUUUAAAUCUGUGUGCAGAAGACCUUCUUAAAUUUUAUAAUAAUGUGGCAUACAUGGCUAUUCCACCUGGAGACCAAGCCUAAUGUCCAGUUUUCAUAUUACUUUAACUCUUGUAAGUAUUUCUGAUGAGCAGCUUUAGCCAACCAGACUCUCAAAGGAAAAGAUUAAAGCCUUUCUCCUAUUUCCAUGAGUUUUAAUUUUGUGGGAAGAGAAGUUAAAAUGGUUGAAACGGCAACAUGAAGAAUCACAUCUAGCUUGGGAGGGUGAUAACCAAGCAUAGAAAACUUUAGAUAUUGACAUGGUCUGACAUUACUUCUGUUUGAAUAUGGCUGAAUCAGAGGUUUCUGCACAAAGAGAAUCCAGGCUUUGAACAAAUUUCCUGGGCUUUCUGACAGCGAACAUUACAAUUGAGUGCUGCUAUCAGCCCUUUAAAAAAAGAACAGAAGAAAAAUGGCGUACAAGAGAAGUUCUUGUCCUAAUAAGGUUGGCAUAUGAACAUGCGUGUUGGAGGUGCCCAUUCAAAAUCCUGGAUUUUAUCUUAAUGAACAGAAGCACUCCACAACAGGCUUGAACUGUCUGAAGGUAAACACUACUAAUCAAACAUGCAAGUAUACAAAUAUAAAAUAUAUAAAAAGGCAGGGAAGAGAAUCUGGUAUCUUCCUUAAUGGACACUGUCUAUUUGAACCUCAAACAGCACCUGUCAGUUACUCAGCAUUUAAGCUCAGUAUUUAACCCAGAAUAGUAAAAAAAACAUGGACAAACAAAAAUCUUGGCAGAAAUCACAAGCUUUUGAAAUGAGAAUAAUUCAUAUCAACAAAUGCUUGUUGUGAAACAAAACUGAUGGCCAGCAGUCUUCAUGCUUUUUUCUUAUCUCUUUCCUGUUUUAAUGUCUACAUCAUAAUGAAGCUUCCUCUCAUAAAACCUCCUUCACUGCCUGCACCAACUCCAUGUCUUGCCUACUCAUUUAAUAUUGCACCAGUUUCUUUGGUAUGGACAUAUCAGAGAAUGUGCUAAUAACUUUUCUUGUACAGUCGUUGAAGUGAAACCUGGAACUCUUGGUUUGGUUUUGUUUUGUUUUGUUUUGUUUUGUUUGCUUGUUUUCCUUUUGGGAGUAAUGAUUGCUGUGCCCUCUUGGUCAAUCUUUUUUUUAUCCUUAAUGAUAUUCACCUCCUGCUUCAAAAGUUGUCAAGUUCUCCAAAUUGUCAGAGGCUACAAAAACAGUAGUGAGAGGAACAGCAUACUGCACAAACCUAAGUUUUGUAGCAGUAUUUAUCCAGUAGUUGCAUUUUCUACUGUGUUUUUGUUACUAGCCUGCAAUCUCCAAUUUCUGUUUGACCAAGCCAGGCUCCAGAUGCAGCUUCAGAUUAAAGUGUUUCUCUCUGCUGAGUCUAUGCUGAUUACUCUGAUCUCCAUCAUACCAGAAUUCUGAAGGCUGAAUCACAGGGGAGUAUUAAGAGGAAUAAAAACAGCCAACUUACGAUCUCCUUGGCAACGCACAGGACCCACAGAUAUCUUCGCUUCAGACCCAGGCCGGUCAACAUCUCCAACCACUAUCUGACUCACUGAUCAUUUGCCUUUCUUCCUCGGCCCUUUACAGAGAUCAUUAACUGGCUGUGGCUGAACACAGAUAGCAAGUGUCACGAAGACACAUUGGCAAGGCUGCUACCAAGGUUGGAAUAUCCUUUGCAAAUGUUUCAUUAUCAUCAAUUUGGAGACAAGAGAUAUAAGAAGAGGGAGAUUAAAAUGAUUUCCCUUAUAAGAAAGAAAAGGGUGAAUAACAAAGCCAGGUAUCCUAAUCUUCUAUCUUUCCUAAAGGCAAAGGACGCACUCCCUUCUAAUGGAGGAUACAUUUAGGUCAUCACUUUACUCUGUGUGAUAGUUUCCUCUGAUAUUGGCUUCCUCUGCUGCUUGCUCCUCUUUCAAAGAAUGCUUUAAAGAUGAGCAUAACUAUUUGAGACAAAGGAUUCUUCAGAGAGUGGUAAAAAGAAAUCUAUUGGCAUUCCUUUUCUCUGUCUCUCUCACAGAUCUAGUAUCUCCACUGCAAAAAAGGAUGUCAAAAGGUAGUCCUUUAAUUGCCACCGUUAGCACUUACCUCUUUUGAAGGAAAUAGAGUCAUUCUCUUCUCUACAGAUCAUGUUUCUAUUCAUUUUAUUAGUUUAUUUAUGUAUUUAGUUUAUUUAUGUAUUUAAUGAUGUGGUCAAUUUAAAGCUAUUGCCGUGAAAAUAAAUAUUACAGCUGUUUUCAGGAA
This is a long non-coding RNA of Numida meleagris (helmeted guineafowl), 2696 nucleotides long. RefSeq lists it as uncharacterized. The record is from RefSeq and is a predicted model, not a curated record. The transcript is spliced from 4 exons. Lineage: Eukaryota; Metazoa; Chordata; Aves; Galliformes; Numididae.